This is a long non-coding RNA of Cervus elaphus (red deer), 644 nucleotides long. RefSeq lists it as uncharacterized. NCBI's taxonomy places the organism in Eukaryota, Metazoa, Chordata, Mammalia, Artiodactyla, Cervidae. The transcript has 4 exons. The record is from RefSeq and is a predicted model, not a curated record.
GCAGGAGGCAGAGCUGCUGCGAGAAGAAGACCCAGGAGAUCUCGGGCAGCGAGCUGCGCGUCUGGCAGCGCAGGUCCAGCAGCGUGGGCCCCAGGAAGGCGAUGCACAGGCCGAAGCUGAAGAAGACGCUCCAGUAGCACCAUGACAUUGCCUACCUCCUCCAGGAAGCUUGCUCAGAAAAGUAUCUGUCUAGCUCCCAAGUCCCAGCAAGCCCCCUGCACUCCUUUUGCCCUACAGUCUUUGUAGUGUCAGCUGUUACAUUUCAGCAAGUGUUAGCUUCCUGUUCCUGCCACCCUGCCUCUCCUGUGGCCAAUUAAACGGACUUACGCCAGCACGCUGAGCCUCCCAGGACUGCUGUAGUUAGUGCUCUGACCCCAUGGAAGGCCACGGUCAACCACAUCUCCAUCAGAGACUCCUGGACACUCACAGGGGACAUGGGUUCAGUCCCUGGUCUGGGAAGAUUCCACAUGCUGUGGCGCAACAAAGUCUGCGCACCACAGCUACGGAGUGGGCACUCGUGAGCCCACGUGCUGCAACUACUGAAGCCUGUACGCCCAGAGCCUGCACUCUGCAACGAGAGAAGCGCCUCAGUGAGGAGCCUGCACACCACAACGAAGAGUAGCCCCCGCCUGCCACGGCAAAGA